This 433-nucleotide ribosomal RNA is filed under the name uncultured bacterium. RNAcentral's name for it is "partial 16S ribosomal RNA". It matches the Rfam family "Bacterial small subunit ribosomal RNA", at positions 29 to 507 of the family's 1533-position model. The record is from RNAcentral.
AACGAACGCUGGCGGCAUGCCUAACACAUGCAAGUCGAACGAGACCUCCGGGUCUAGUGGCGCACGGGUGCGUAACGCGUGGGAACCUGCCCUUAGGUUCGGAAUAACUCCCCGAAAGGGGUGCUAAUACCGGAUAAUGUCUUCGGACCAAAGAUUUAUCGCCUUUGGAUGGGCCCGCGUUGGAUUAGCUAGUUGGUAGGGUAAAAGCCUACCAAGGCGACGAUCCAUAGCUGGUCUGAGAGGAUGAUCAGCCACACUGGGACUGAGACACGGCCCAGACUCCUACGGGAGGCAGCAGUGGGGAAUAUUGGACAAUGGGCGAAAGCCUGAUCCAGCAACGCCGCGUGAGUGAUGAAGGCCUUAGGGUUGUAAAGCUCUUUUACCCGGGAUGAUAAUGACAGUACCGGGAGAAUAAGCUCCGGCUAACUCCGUG